This 506-nucleotide ribosomal RNA is filed under the name uncultured bacterium. RNAcentral describes it as "partial 16S ribosomal RNA". It matches the Rfam family "Bacterial small subunit ribosomal RNA", at positions 29 to 523 of the family's 1533-position model. The record is from RNAcentral.
AGUGAACGCUGGCGGUAGGCCUAACACAUGCAAGUCGAACGGCAGCACAGGAGAGCUUGUUCUCUGGGUGGCGAGUGGCGGACGGGUGAGGAAUACAUCGGAAUCUACUCUGUCGUGGGGGAUAACGUAGGGAAACUUACGCUAAUACUGCAUACGACCUACGGGUGGAAGCAGGGGAUCUUCGGACCUUGCGCGAUUGAAUGAGCCGAUGUCGGAUUAGCUAGUUGGCGGGGUAAAGGCCCACCAAGGCGACGAUCCGUAGCUGGUCUGAGAGGAUGAUCAGCCACACUGGAACUGAGACACGGUCCAGACUCCUACGGGAGGCAGCAGUGGGGAAUAUUGGACAAUGGGCGCAAGCCUGAUCCAGCCAUACCACGUGGGUGAAGAAGGCCUUCGGGUUGUAAAGCCCUUUUGUUGGGAAAGAAAUCCAGCUGGCUAAUACCCGGUUGGGAUGACGGUACCCAAGGAAUAAGCACCGGCUAACUUCGUGCCAGCCGCCGCCGUAA